Molecule: unclassified non-coding RNA, 267 nt
Filed under: Hevea brasiliensis (rubber tree)
Lineage: Eukaryota; Viridiplantae; Streptophyta; Magnoliopsida; Malpighiales; Euphorbiaceae
Source: RNAcentral
CUUUAAGUUGGCUUUGAUUGAUUUCACCUUCUCCUCAGCCUGUUUCACCAGGUCUGGCCCUACUAGUUUGUUUUCGCCCAAUUCAGUCUAACACACUAGAGUUCUAUAUUUCCUCCCAUGGAGAUGACAUGUGAAGGAUCUGAGCGAUAUCUUCUUAGCAUAGAUACGUGAAACACAUUGUGAAUCUUGUCUAGCUCUGGUGGUAAAGCUAGCCUGUAGGCCACUGGACCCACACAUUCAAUGACUUCAUAUGGGCCAAUAAACCUA